AAGUCGUAACAAGGUUUCCGUAGGUGAACCUGCGGAAGGAUCAUUACAAAUCUUGAGUUGGUCCCCUAGUGGGGCUGACAUUAGCACAAGGCCGCAAGGUCUUGAUGUUUACGCUUGUAUGUUUGACAAAGUUAAAUUGUGACCUUAAAAAUGACAACUUUUAACAACGGAUCUCUUGGCUCUU
RNAcentral lists this unclassified non-coding RNA (184 nucleotides) under fungal sp. RNAcentral's name for it is "partial internal transcribed spacer region". The stretch from base 1 to 46 matches the Rfam family "Eukaryotic small subunit ribosomal RNA", at positions 1786 to 1831 of the family's 1831-position model. The record is from RNAcentral. Lineage: Eukaryota; Fungi.